GGUGAAAUUUCAUCAUGACCUGACAUUGACCUCAAAUUGAAGGUCUUGAACUACUGAUCAUCUUUGCAGUUUAUAGUAGGUUGAUAUCUGUUACCUUUAAAAAGAUAUACACACAAUACUAUACUUUUAAGAAUCAUCCCGUCGUAACUUUUGAACAGACAGUCGGACUCUUUUGAGCUCAGUGUAUAAAAUGUAGAGCUCGUCGAGAGGAACAUUUUAUACGCUGUAAGUAUGCAGCAAACUCUUAUCGUUUUCUUAAUAUGAAAGCUUGAAAUUGCAGCGUAAUUUUUUUUGCACUCGGUGACCUUUGACCUUGGGUGCAAAUUAAAGGUCACAUGAACUUAAGAUUAUUGGUGUAGGUCCCAAGUCUUUACGACUUCCGGUUCUCGAAGAUACAAUUUUUCAAAAAUUGUGUAUAUUUUUUCAAGGGAAAUAACUCCUUAUAAGGGUUAACAACAAAAUGAUUGUAUAUGUUCAUUAACAUUGCCAUCUGUUCUUGUACAUGUUGCCGUUUUCAAAUCGAUUCUAUCUUGAAUACUUUUUGAGAAAAAUGUAAAAGAAAGAAAUUGCUUCAAGGGGACAUAACUCUCAUAGGGAAUGAUGAAAUCCUUAGCAGCCUCAUAUGGUAACACAUCAUGAUGAGAUCUAACUAUUGUCCAAAUAAGGUCAUGAUAUCUUUCAAAACAACGAGGGGGGGCCAUGUCGAAAAAAAAUCAAUAAAAGGGAGAUAACUUCUAAAGGGGAUGAUGAAAUCCUACACAGCCUCAUCUGGUAAUACUUCAUGAUGAGGUCUACCGAUGGUCCAUAUUUGGUCUUGAUAACUCAAUAGAAACAAGGGGAGGCCAUGUCAAACAAAUGCUGGAUGAAAAAAAAAAAAAAAAAAAAAAAAAAAAAAAAAAAACUAGUAUCUCAAUUGUUUGUAAAACAAUUGAAAGGUCUUUCCUGUAAAAGUGAUGUUUUCGUAAUGUACUUUGUACGACCUUUCGUUUGAUAUACGACAAGCAUACCUUCUGAAACUUUUUCGCUUUUUUACACUUAAUGACCUCAUCCGCCUACAUUUUUGAGAUCGGAAUUAUGAUAUAUGUAACAUAGAGUAGAUGAGCUUUCAUUUGAUAUGCGACAACGCCAUGUUCUAGAAAGUUUGAUUUUUGCACUUAAUAACCCUAUCCAACUAAUUUUUGGAGGUCGGGAAUUUGAUAUUUCAAAUGUACACAUCAUGACCUUUCAUUUGAUAUACAACAACCCUAUCUUAAAAGAAAAUUUAUUUUUUGCACUCAAUGACCCCAUCCAACCCAUUUUUGGGAGACGUCAAUUUGAAAUUUGAAAUGUACGCUUUAUGUUCUUUCAUUUGAUAUGCGACAACCUUACCAUCUGAGAAAUUUGAAAUGUUUGCACUAAAUGACCCCACCCGUCCCCCUGGGAUGAAAAGGGGGUUUAAAAUUUUCAUUUUUAAGUAGAGUUUAUUGAGACCUUCAAUUUGAUAUAUCAGAUGACCCCAUUUGACAAAGUGCAAAUAAUGAUGCAAUAUCAACUAUAUAAAUAGAAGUUUAUGAAACUUACAAAGUCAAUGCAAAAACUUGAAAAUUUCAAAAUUGAAUUUUUUGGCGUUUUUUUCCAUGGAAUGUUUUUGGUAUUUGGUCAAACAUAUAACUAUGUUAACCUCUUCAAUUUCUAAACAUUUUAAGUGGUAUAAGCUCUUGUUGAUUCAGAAAAUACAUGCCUCCGCUCGCAAAACUUCAAACUGCAUUAUCUCUAAAACGACAAUAGAUAUCUCAAAUCUGUUAAAUGAUAAAUGAUCUACAGUUGAAGGGACAACAUUAUAGAAAAGAAUUGGGACAAUUUCAAAGUUCACCAAAGGUCACAAUUAAUCAUCAAAUAUAUGAUGCAAUACCAAAACUUAAGAACCGGAAGUCGUAGAGACAUGGGACUAUCACCAUUCAACUCAGGACCACUUGACCUUUCAAAUAUCACAAGGUCAAGGUCAUAGUAUAAUGUGAAGGUCAAGGUGAAAUUUCAUCAUGACCUGACAUUGACCUCAAAUUGAAGGUCUUGAAUUACUGAUCAUCUUUGCAGUUUAUAGUAGGUUGAUAUCUGUUACCUUUAAAAAGAUAUACACACAAUACUAUACUUUUAAGAAUCAUCCCGUUGUAACUUUUGAACAGACAGUCGGACACUUUUGAGCUCAGUGUAUAAAAUGUAGAGCUCGUCGAGAGGAACAUUUAUAACGCUGUAAGUAUGCAGCAAAGUCUUAUCGUUUUCUUAAUAUGAAAGCUUGAAAUUGCAGCGUAAUUUUUUUUUGCACUCGGUGACCUUUGACCUUGGGUGCAAAUUAAAGGUCACAUGAACUUAAGAUUAUUGGUGAAGGUCCCAAGUCUUCUACGACUUCCGGUUCUCGAAAUACAAUUUUUUCAAAAAUUAUGUAUAAUUUUUCAAGGGAAAUAACUCCUUAUAAGGGUUAAUAACAAAAUGAUUGUAUAUGUUCAUUAACAUUGCCAUCUGUUCCUGUACAUGUUGCCGUUUUCAAAUCGAUUCUAUCUCUUAUACUUUUUGAGAAAAAUGCAAAGAAAGAAAUUGCUUCAAGGGGAUAUAACUCUCAUAGGGAUGAUGAAAUCCUAUUCAGCCUCAUAUGGUAAUACAUCAUGAUGAGAUCUACUAUUGUCCAAAUAAAGUCAUGAUAUCUUUUAAAACAACGAGGGGGGACCAUGUUGAAAAAAAUCAAUAAAAGGGAGAUAACUUCUAAAGGGGAUGAUGAAAUCCUUACAAACAGGGUCAUCUGGUAAUACAGUUCAUGAUGAGGUCUAGCGAUGGUCCAUAUUUGGUCUUAAUAACUUCAACAGAAACAAGGGGAGGGGCAUGUCAAAAAAUGUUGAAGAAAAAAAAAAAAACUAGUAUCUCAAUUGUUUGUAAAAAAUUGAAAGGGUAAAAGUGAUGUUUUCGUAAUGUACUUUGUACGACCUUUCGUUUGAUAUACGACAAGCACACCUUCUGAAACUUUUCGCUUUUUACACUUAAUGACCUCAUCCGUCUACAUUUUUGAGAUCGGAAUUAUGAUAUAUGGAACAGAGUAGAUGAGCUUUCGUUUGAUAUGCGACAACACCAUGUUCUUGAAAGUUUGAUUUUUGCACUUAAUAACCCUAUCCAACAAAUUUUUGGAGGUCGGGAAUUUGAUAUUUCAAAUGUACACAUCAUGACCUUUCAUUUGAUAUACAACAACCCUACCUUAAAAGAAACAUUUAUUUUUUGCACUCAAUGACCCCAUCCAACCCAUUUUUGGGAGACGUCAAUUUGAAAUUUGAAAUGUACGCUUUAUGUUCUUUCAUUUGAUAUGCGACAACCUUACCAUCUGAGAAAUUUGAAUGUUUGCACUAAAUGACCCCACCCGUCCCCCUGGGAUGAAAAGGGGGUUUAAAAUUUUCAUUUUUAAGUAGAGUUUAUUAAGACCUUCAAUUUGAUAUAUCAGAUGACCCCAUUUGACAAAGUGCAAAUAAUGAUGCAAUAUCAAUUAUAUAAAUAGAAGUUAUGAAACUUACAAAGUCAAUGCAAAACUUGAAAAUUUCAAAUUGAUUUUUGGUGUUUUUUUCCAUGGAAUGUUUUUGGUAUUUGGGUCAAACAUAUAACUAUGUCAACCUCUUCAAUUUCUAAAACAUUUUUAAGUGGUAAGCUCUUGAUGAUUCAGAAAUACAUGCCUCCGCUCGCAAAAACUUCAAACUGCAUUAUCUCUAAAACGACAAUAGAUAUCUCAAAUCUGUUAAAUGAUAAAUGAUCUACAGUUGAAGGACAACAUUAUAGAAAAAGAAUUGGGACAAUUUCAAAGUUCACCAAGGUCACAAUUAAUCAUCAAAUAUAUGAUGCAAUACAAAACUUGAGAACCGGAAGUCGUAGAGACAUGGGACUAUCACCAUUCAACUCAGGACCACUUGACCUUUCAAAUAUUCACAAGGUCAAGGUCAUAGUAAAAUGUGAAGGUCAAGGUGAAAUUUCAUCAUGACCUGACAUUGACCUCAAAUUGAAGGUCUUGAACUACUGAUCAUCUUUGCAGUUUAUAGUAGGUUGAUAUCUGUUACCUUUAAAAAGAUAUACACACAAUACUAUACUUUUUAAGAAUCAUCCCGUCGUAACUUUUGAACAGACAGUCGGACAUUUUUGGGCUCAGUGUAUAAAAUGUAGAGCUCGUCGAGAGGAACAUUUUAUACGCUGUAAGUAUGCAGCAAACUGUUAUCGUUUUCCUAAUAUGAAGCUUGAAAUUGCAGCGUAAUUUUUUUCUUGCACUCGGUGACCUUUGACCUUGGGUGCAAAUUAAAGGUCACAUGAACUUAAGAUUAUUGGUGUAGGUCCCAAGUCUUUACGACUUCCGGUUCUCGAGAUACAAUUUUUCAAAAAUUGUGUAUAUUUUUUCAAGGGAAAUAACUCCUUAUAAGGGUUAACAACAAAAUGAUUGUAUAUGUUAAUUAACAUUGCCAUCUCUGGUCCUGUACAUGUUGCCGUUUUCAAAUCGAUUCUAUCUUGAAUACUUUUUGAGAAAAAUGCAAAGAAAAGAAAUUGCUUUCAAGGGGACAUAACUCUCAUAGGGAAUGAUGAAAUCCUUAGCAGCCUCAUAUGGUAACACAUCAUGAUGAGAUCUAACUAUUGUCCAAAUAAGGUCAUGAUAUCUUCAAAAACAACGAGGGGGGGCCAUGUCGAAAAAAAACCAAUAAAAGGGAGAUAACUUCUAAAGGGGAUGAUGAAAUCCUACACAGCCUCAUCUGGUAAUACUUCAUGAUGAGGUCUACCGAUGGUCCAUAUUUGGUCUUGAUAACUCCAAUAGAAACAAGGGGAGGCCAUGUUAAACAAAUGCUGGAUGAAAAAAAAAAAAAAAAAAAAAAAAAAAAAAAAAAAAAAAAAGAAAAACAAUAAGGUCUUUCCUCGCGGAGAGGAAGACCUUAAACUAGUAUCUCAAUUGUUUGUAAAACAAUUGAAAGGUCUUUCCUGUAAAAGUGAUGUUUUCGUAAUGUACUUUGUACGACCUUUCGUUUGAUAUACGACAAGCAUACCUUCUGAAACUUUUCGCUUUUUAACACUUAAUGACCUCAUCCGCCUACAUUUUUGAGAUCGGAAUUAUGAUAUAUGUAACACAGAGUAGAUGAGCUUUCAUUUGAUAUGCGACAACGCCAUGUUCUAGAAAGUUUGAUUUUUGCACUUAAUAACCCUAUCCAACUAAUUUUUGGAGGUCGGGAAUUUGAUAUUUCAAAUGUACACAUCAUGACCUUUCAUUUGAUAUACAACAACCCUAUCUUAAAAGAAAAUUUAUUUUUUGCACUCAAUGACCCCAUCCAACCCAUUUUUGGGAGACGUCAAUUUGAAAUUUGAAAUGUACGCUUUAUGUUCUUUCAUUUGAUAUGCGACAACCUUACCAUCUGAGAGAAAUUUGAAUGUUUGCACUAAAUGACCCCACCCGUCCCCCUGGGAUGAAAAAGGGGGUUUAAAAUUUUCAUUUUUUAAGUAGAGUUUAUUAAGACCUUCAAUUUGAUAUAUCAGAUGACCCCAUUUGACAAAGUGCAAAUAAUGAUGCAAUAUCAACUAUAUAAAUAGAAGUUAUGAAACUUACAAAGUCAAUGCAAAACUUGAAAAUUUCAAAUUGAAUUUUUGGCGUUUUUUUCCAUGGAAUGUUUUUGGUAUUUGGGUCAAACAUAUAACUAUGUUAACCUCUUCAAUUUCUAAAACAUUUUAAGUGGUAAGCUCUUGUUGAUUCAGAAAUACAUGCCUCCGCUCGCAAAACUUCAAACUGCAUUAUCUCUAAAACGACAAUAGAUAUCUCAAAUCUGUUAAAUGAUAAAUGAUCUACAGUUGAAGGACAACAUUAUAGAAAAAGAAUUGGGACAAUUUCAAAGUUCACCAAGGUCACAAUUAAUCAUCAAAUAUAUGAUGCAAUACCUAAACUUAAGAACCGGAAGUCGUAGAGACAUGGGACUAGCACCAUUCAACUCAGGACCACUUUGACCUUUCAAAUAUCACAAGGUCAAGGUCAUUAGUAUAUGUGAAGGUCAAGGUGAAAUUUCAUCAUGACCUGACAUUGACCUCAAAUUGAAGGUCUUGAAUUACUGAUCAUCUUUGCACUUUUAUAGUAGGUUGAUAUCUGUUACAUUUAAAAGAUAUACACAAAAUACUAUACUUUUAAGAAUCAUCCCGUUGUAACUUUUGAACAGACGGUCGGACAUUUUUGGGCUUAUAAUAUAAAAUGUAGAGCUCGUCGAGAGGAACAUUUUAUACGCUGUAUGUAUGCAGCAAAGUCUUAUCGUUUUCCUAAUAUGUAAGCUUGAAAUUGCAGCGUAAAUUUUUUUUGCACUCGGUGACCUUUGACCUUGGGUGCAUAUUAAAGGUCACAUGAAAUUUAAGAUUAUUGGUGAAGGUUCCCAAGUCUCUAUGACUUCCGGUUCUCGAAAUAAAUUUUUCUAAAAUUUUUAUAAUUUUUCAAGGGAAAUAACUCUCCUUAUAAGGGUUAAAACAAAAAUAAUUGUUUAUGUUUAUUAACAUUGUCCUCUGUUCUUGUACAUGUUGUGCCGUUUUCAAAUCGAUUCUAUCUCUAAUACUUUUUGAGAAAAAUGCAAAUAAAAGAAAUUGCUUUCAAGGGGAUAUAACUCUCAAAGGGGAUGAUGAAAUCCUAUUCAGCCUCAUAUGGUAAUACAUCAUGAUGAGAUCUACCUAUUGUCCAAAUAAGGUCAUGAUAUCUUUUAAAAACAACGAGGGGGGCCAUGUUGAAAAAAAAUCAAUAAAAGGGAGAUAACUUCUUAAAGGGGAUGAUGAAAUCCUACAAAAAGUUCAUCUGGUAAAAGUUUCAUGAUGAGGUCUAUCGAUGGUCCAUAUUUGGUCUUGAUAACUUCAACUGAAACGGUAGGAGGCCAUGCCAAAAAAAAUGUUGGAAGAAAAAAAAGAAAAAAAAGAAAAAACAUUAGAACUAGUAUCUCAAUUGUUUGUAAAAACAAUUGAAAGGUCUUCCUGUAAAGUGAUGUUUUCGUAAUGUACUUUGACAACCCACUUGAAAAAAUUACAUUAUUUAAUAAUUUAACAAACGAAAUUUGACUAUAAUGGUCAAAUUGUCAUGACACCCAAAUAAUCCCCAAUAAGAGACAUUUGGCUAUGAGCAAUAAAUAGACAAUUGUAUGAUAUAAUUUUCUCAAGUAAAAAAUUAGGAAACUCUGCAGCAGCUGAUUUAAAGCAUUACUUAAAAUAUCAGUUACAUGUGACUUAGCAGCUAUAAAAAGUAUUCAGUUGUAUGUGACUAAGUCUGUCUCUCCAUCCGUCAGUCCAGCAAAUCAGUUUUCCACACUUUUUGCAUCAUGCUUGAAGAUAUUCAUUUGAUAUUUGGUGUAUUGUUUUAUCAUGACAAGUUACAUGUACAGAUCAAGUACGAAUUUUGUUCCAGUCUGAUGAUUUUGUGCAGCGUUUAUGGUCCUUUGACUUAAAAAAUUCACUCAAAUAAUCAGGUUUCCACACUUUUUUCGUCAUGCUUGAAGAUAUUGAUUUGAAAAUUGGUAUGUAGUUUUAUCAUGACAAGUUACAGAUCAAGUUUAAAUUGUUUUCUGUCUGGAUUGUGUGCAGAGUAAUGAUCCUUGGACUUAGAAAAUUCAUUUAAAUUAUCAGUUUUCAACACUUUUUUCGUCUUCUUAAAGAAAUAGAAUUGAUAUUUGUUAUAUUAAAUGUUCUGCUCCUACUCUGAAUACAGCAGGCUGUGCAGAGAAAAAGCAUUAAUAGUAAUACCAUAUUUCAAGUCUAAAUUAGUUUUAACCUGGCAGCUGGGGAUCAAACUCAGGACCUCCAUCAAUACAAAGCAUGUCUGACAAACCCUAGAUGUGGUUGGGUUGGUCAACCUUAAAAUUCAAUAGACAGGGACUAUCAAUAAGCACUGUACAUUUACAUAAAAAGUUAAAAUGCAGAUUUUAGUUGUAAUCAGAGAUAAGAAAUUGUCUUUUUAUUUAUUUAAAAUAAAUACAUGUUACCAGUUUAAAUAAGCAACAAAUUAACAUGGCCCCUCUUGUGCACCUCAACCUUCCACUUCAUUUUUUUAUUUAAAACCUGCACAUUCAUCAUGUUCAAAUAUAAUGCAGAUAUUAUAGGGGAUUGAACAUAGUUCUAACUGGAUUAUCUCCCAUUUACCAGAAAAAUAAUCGACUAAAAAAAAGAAUUAAAUGUAAAACUGCAUGCAUGUUCAUGUUAUUUGUAUUAAAAGGAGAUUUGUCAAACUCUUAGAUAAAGUAUUAUGUAUGUCAAUUCUCCAGACAAAUCUCUUAAGAAUAUGAAAAAAGUAUGAUAGAAGCAUCCAAAUAGUGCUUCGAAAUACAUGAAAUAUAUGAUAAACAUCUCGACAUCUGGGAGUUAUUAAAAUUGUGCAAUAAAUUAACACAAAUGCAAUCAGAUAAUGAUCUUUAAUAAAUUGCUGCAUUACAAAUAAUGAAAGCUUUCAAAAUGCACAUGUGACUGUGUGAUUAUUUUUGCGACGACCCAUAACUUAUACAUUGCAAUAAUUCCAUCAUGUAUAGCAAUUCAUAAUUUUUUAUCAUUAGAUAUUUUUUUAUCACAUUGUAUUUUAGUUUUUGCUGCAAAUAUAGAUUCUAUGUUAAUUGCCUCUUACUAGAACAGCAAGAUACAGUACACUGAAAGGCAGAGUCAACCAUGUCCUAUAAAAGGUAUUUAUAGCUCAUAAUGUUAAAUUUAAUGUGAAAACAAAUUUAGGAGAAAAAAAAUCAUUAAAAGUAUAAAUUUAUCAGAUAACCUUAGCUUUAUUUGGUAGAACCUUUAACAACUUUAGGUCACCAACCNNNNNNNNNNNNNNNNNNNNNNNNNUAUGACCUUGUUCGUUGAUAUACGACAAGCAUACCUUCUGAAACUUUUCGCUUUUUACACUUAAUGACCUCAUCCGCCUACAUUUUUGAGAUCGGAAGUAUGAUAUAUGUAACACAGGGUAGAUGAGCUUUCAUUUGAUAUGCGACAACGCCAUGUUCUAGAAAGUUUGAUUUUUGCACUUAAUAACCAUCCAACAUUUUUGGAGGUCGGGAAUUUGAUAUUUCAAAUGUACACAUCAGACCUUUCAUUUGAUAUACAACAACCCUAUCUAAAGAAAAAUUUAUUUUUUGCACUCAAUGACCCCAUCCAACCCAUUUUGGGGACGUCAAUUUGAAAUUUGAAAUGUACGCUUUAUGUUCUUUCAUUUGAUAUGCGACAACCUUACCAUCUGAGAAAUUUGAAUUUUUGCACUAAAUGCCCACCCUUCCCCUGGAUGAAAAAGGGUUUAAAAUUUUCAUUUUUAAGUAGAGUUUAUUGAGACCUUCAAUUUGAUAUAUCAGAUGACCCCAUUUGACAAAGUGCAAAAAUGAUGCAAUAUCAACAUAUAAAUAGAAGUUAUGAAAUUACAAAGUCAAUGCAAAACUGAAAAUUUCAAAAUGAUUUUUUUGGUGUUUUUUUCAUGGAAUGUUUUUGGUAUUUGGUCAAACUAUAACUAUGUUAACCUCUUCAAUUUCUAAAACAUUUUAAGUGGUAAGCUCUUGUUGAUUCAGAAAUACAUGCCGCGCUCGCAAAAAUUCAAACUGCAUUAUCUCUAAAACGACAAUAGAUAUCUCAAAUCUGUUAAAUGGUAAUGAUCUACAGUUAAGGACAACAUUAUAGAAAAGAAUUGGGACAAUUUCAAAUUCACCAAGGUCACAAUUAAUCAUCAAAUAUAUGAUGCAAUACCAAACUUAGAACCGGAAGUCGUUGAGACAUGGGACUACACCAUUCAACUCAGGACCACUUGACUUUCAAAUUCACAAGGUCAAGGUCAUAGUAUAAUGUGAAGGUCAAGGUGAAAUUUCAUCAUGACCUGACAUUGACCUCAAAUUGAAGGUCUUGAAUUACUGAUCAUCUUUGCAGUUUAUAGUAGGUUGAUAUCUGUUACCUUUAAAAAGAUAUAACCAAAAUACUAACUUUAGAAUCAUCCCGUUGUAACUUUUGAACAGACGGUCGGACAUUUUUGGGCUUAUUAUAUAAAAUGUAGAGCUCGUCGAGAGGAACAUUUUAUACGCUGUAUGUAUGCAGAAAGUCUUAUCGUUUUCCUAAUAUGUAAGCUUGAAAUUGCAGCGUAAUUUUUUUUUGCACUCGUGACCUUUGACCUUGUGCAUAUUAAAGGUCACAUGAAUUAAAGAUUAUUGGUGAAGGUCCAAGUCUACGACUUCCGUUCUCGAAAUACAAUUUUUCUAAAAUUUAUCAAUUUUUCAAGGGAAUAACUCCUUAUAAGGGUUAAUAACAAAAUGAUUGUAUGUUCAUUAACAUUGCCAUCUGUUCUGUACAUGUUGCCGUUUUCAAAUCAUUCUAUCUCUUAUACUUUUUGAGAAAAAUGCAAAGGAAAGAAAUUGUUCAAGGGGAUAUAACUCUCAUAGGGAAUGAUGAAAUCCUAUUCAGCCUCACAUGGUAAUACAUCAUGAUAGAUCUACAUAUUGUCCAUUAAGGUCAUGAUAUCUUUAAAACAACGAGGGGGGCCAUGUUGAAAAAAAAUCAAUAAAAGGGAGAUAACUUCUAAAGGGGAUGAUGAAAUCCUUAACAGAGUCAUGGUAAUACAUCUUGGUGAGGUCUACGAUGGUCCAUAUUUGGUCUUAUAACUUCAAAGAAACAAGAGGGGCAUGUCAAAAAAUGUUGGAAGAAAAAAAAGAAAAACAUAGAAAACAAUAGUCAUAGGAAAGUAAAAAACAUAGAAAAACAAUAAGUCUUUCCAGUAGGAAAGACUAAAAAAAAAAAAACUAGUAUCUCAAUUGUUUGUAAAACAAUUGAAAGGUCUUUCCUGUAAAAGUGAUGUUUUCGUAAUGUACUUGUACGACCUUUCGUUUGAUAUACGACAAGCAUACCCUCUUGAAACUUUUCCCUUUUACACUUAAUGACCUCAUCCCUACAUUUUUGAGAUCGGAAUUAUGAUAUAUAAAUAGAGUAGAGAGCUUUCAUUUGAUAUGCGACAACCAUGUUCUAGAAAGUUUGAUUUUUGCACUUAAAACCCUAUCCAACUAAUUUUUGAGUCGGGAAUUUGAUAUUUCAAAUGUACACAUCAUGACCUUUCAUUUGAUAUACAACAACCCUACUUAAAGAAAUUUAUUUUUCACUCAAUCCCCAUCCAACCCAUUUUUGGGAGACGUCAAUUGAAAUUUGAAAGUUACGCUUUAUGUUCUUUCAUUUGAUAUGCGAC
Molecule: long non-coding RNA, 11179 nt
Filed under: Mytilus galloprovincialis (Mediterranean mussel)
Lineage: Eukaryota; Metazoa; Mollusca; Bivalvia; Mytilida; Mytilidae
Source: RNAcentral